RNAcentral lists this ribosomal RNA (251 nucleotides) under uncultured bacterium. RNAcentral describes it as "partial 16S ribosomal RNA". It matches the Rfam family "Bacterial small subunit ribosomal RNA", at positions 524 to 776 of the family's 1533-position model. The record is from RNAcentral.
UACGUAGGGGGCAAGCGUUGUCCGGAUUUACUGGGUGUAAAGGGCGCGCAGGCGGAAUAUCAAGUCAGAGGUGAAAUCCUACAGCUUAACUGUAGAACAGCCUUUGAUACUGAUAUUCUUGAGUUCGGGAGAGAGACGGAAUUCCAGGUGUAGUGGUGAAAUACGUAGAUAUCUGGAAGAACACCAGUUGCGAAGGCGGUCUCUUGGUCCGAUACUGACGCUCAUGCACGAAAGCGUGGGGAGCAAACAGG